CCCCUCAGGGGAGGUGUUGGGUAACGUGGGGGGGGGGUUUGUGUGCAGAGGGCACUGGGUGAACUGGGAAGGAUGGGGGGGGAACUGGGAAGAACUGGGAAGAACUGGGAGGAACUGGGAGCGUUUAUUGGGAUUAUUUACAGCUUUGUACAUAGAAGGAGACCCCCCCACCCCUCAGGGUCGCCCCACAACCGUGCUAUGUGGGGGGAGGGGGGGUGGGGCAUCCCAUAAUGACCCCACAGAGACCCCACAACAUUUGGGGACUCUUUAGGAUCCCUGGAUCACCCCAUAACGACCCCAUAGAAACACGUGGGGACAUCAGAGACCCCAAGGCCACCCUAUAAUGUCCCCAUAGAGACCCCUGGGGACAUCAGGGACCCCAAGGCCGCCCCCCCCCCGUCCCCAUAAAGACCCCCUGGAGGCACUUGGAGACACCUGGGACCCCAGGCCACCCCAUAAUGUCCCCACAGAGACCCCUGGGGACAUCAGGGACCCCAAGACCACCCUUAACAUCCCCAUAGAGACCCCUGGGACCCCAGGCCACCCCAUAACGUCCCCACAGAGACCCCUGGGGACAUCAGGGACCCCAAGACGACCCCACAGUGACCCCCUCCCCACUCCCCCAAUGACUUUUGGUGACACGUGGGGUCACCAUGGGCCCCUCACUGGGCGGAUUGGGGACUCUGUGCCACGCCGGCCCCGUUGGCCUUCCCAAAGGGCCCCCCAGUGGGGCCGGGGGGAGGCUGGGGGCUGUCCCCAGGUUCUGAUUUGGGGGUGGUGACGGCGGUGGCCGCGGGGGACGCGGUGGCGGAGGAUGGGGACAGCUGAGGUCCCGGGGUGGUGGGGAUCGUGGGGUUGGGUUUGGGGUCACCGCUGGUGGGAGGAAGGGACACCACGAUGUACUUCUGGACGCUGCCCGUGACGGUGGCACUGGGGGCCGUGGGGGCUGCAGACACCAGUUUGACCACGGGUUGGACGCUGGGGACGGUGGUGGUGACGGGGGAGGUGGCGGUGGGGGCAGGGCUGGUGCUGAAGGUGAUGACCUGUGGGGAGAAUGGGGGCGUUGGGGGGACUGGGGGCAAUGGGGGGACCUGGGGGG
RNAcentral lists this long non-coding RNA (1099 nucleotides) under Phasianus colchicus (ring-necked pheasant). Its description in RNAcentral is "lncRNA (ENSPCLG00000020289.1)". Lineage: Eukaryota; Metazoa; Chordata; Aves; Galliformes; Phasianidae. The record is from RNAcentral.